UACGUAGGGGGCAAGCGUUGUCCGGAUUUAUUGGGCGUAAAGAGCGUGUAGGCGGCUUUACAGGUCCGUUGUGAAAACUCGAGGCUCAACCUCGAGACGCCGGUGGAAACCGUAAAGCUAGAGUCCGGAAGAGGAGAGUGGAAUUCCUGGUGUAGCGGUGAAAUGCGCAGAUAUCAGGAGGAACACCAGCGGCGAAGGCGGCAUCCUGGACUGGUCCUGACACUCAGGAGCGAAAGCGUGGGGAGCGAUCCGG
This 253-nucleotide ribosomal RNA is filed under the name uncultured bacterium. RNAcentral's name for it is "partial 16S ribosomal RNA". It matches the Rfam family "Bacterial small subunit ribosomal RNA", at positions 524 to 776 of the family's 1533-position model. The record is from RNAcentral.